GGUUUCUCUGUGUAGCCCUGGCUGUCCUGGAACUCACUCUGUAGACCAGGCUGGCCUCGAACUCAGAAAUCUGCCUGCCUCUGCCUCCCGAGUGUUG
RNAcentral lists this microRNA precursor (97 nucleotides) under Ovis aries (sheep). RNAcentral's name for it is "miRNA (ENSOARG00000022384.1)". Lineage: Eukaryota; Metazoa; Chordata; Mammalia; Artiodactyla; Bovidae. The record is from RNAcentral.